This 254-nucleotide ribosomal RNA is filed under the name uncultured bacterium. RNAcentral describes it as "partial 16S ribosomal RNA". It matches the Rfam family "Bacterial small subunit ribosomal RNA", at positions 524 to 776 of the family's 1533-position model. The record is from RNAcentral.
UACGGAGGGUGCGAGCGUUGUCCGGAAUCACUGGGCGUAAAGGGCGCGUAGGCGGUCAGCACAAGUCAGUUGUGAAAUCUCCGGGCUUAACUCGGAAAGGUCAACUGAUACUGUGCGACUAGAGUGCGGAAGGGGCAACUGGAAUUCUCGGUGUAGCGGUGAAAUGCGUAGAUAUCGAGAGGAACACCUGCGGCGAAGGCGGGUUGCUGGGCCGACACUGACGCUGAUGCGCGAAAGCCAGGGGAGCGAACGGG